AUGUUAUGUGUUGUUCAGGUGUCAGCGCUGUGCAAAAUAGGAGGAAGAAACCUCAAGGACAGUGCAAGAAGGAUGCUGGAUAGGGUUUUAAAGAAUUCCCUUAUGUCCAAAUUUAAUAUGAAGGGGGGUGGACCACUGCAGAAGGAGGCAUUUGAGAAGACUGCAUUUGUAUCACUGUGGUGGACUUUCGGCAGCGGCACCAGAUUGGAUGUUGGCAGCUUCACUCGUCCUAAAGUGAGCGUCCUGCCGCCCUCCAUUGAAGAGAUCUCCACAAAGAAAACAGCAACACUGAUGUGUGUGCUCAACAAGGGUUUCCCCUCAGACUGGAGUGUGAUGUGGAAGGUGGACGGGAGCAGCAGAUCUCAGGACAGCAGUGUUGGGCUCCUGCAGGAGGGCGGUCUGUACUGCUGGAGCAGUAGUCUGACUCUCUCUGAGCAGGAGUGGAGCUCAGUGAACUCAGUGAGCUGUGAGGCCAAACACAAAGAUCACAGUCAUACAGUCACUGGAGAAUUCAGGAGAGAUGAUCAGUGUUCACACUAG
Non-coding RNA from Triplophysa rosa, 540 nucleotides. Lineage: Eukaryota; Metazoa; Chordata; Actinopteri; Cypriniformes; Nemacheilidae. The record is from the annotation of a RefSeq genome assembly.